CUUGUUAAAAUGUUAGUUAGCUAAAGAAUUUUGUUCAAUUCUUAAUCGAUUUGACUGAUAUGAUAGUUAGCUACUUAUCUGAGAUGACUGAGCUUCUCCAACCGAUUAUCCCUCCUAAUUGUCGGUAACUACAACCACGGCCAAGCCUGUUGGCUUGGAAAAGUGUCCGAUUUGAUAGUAUGCAAUAGAAGACUUUUCAGAUUUUGGCACCCAACAGCAAAACGUGACGUUUUAGGAAACAAAUAUUGGCUUGCUCUAAAAAUUACCCAUAGUCUUCCCGCUAUAUUUUUGCAACCAGGAGGCGUGUCUUACUCAGGGGUCUAUAACACUUUUGGGCUAGGUCUUUUUGUGCAUUUUUUGUGAUGUGAGGUGAAAAUGUUACCGCGAUCUGAAACAUUUAAGAGUAACUGCACUUAGAGUGUAACUCAGAGGCUCUCCUCGUGUUAACACGACCACUUCAUGAGGUCAAGGGAAAACAAACUUCUCAGCAUGGGCCUAAAUGACCAACAUUUGCUAGUCGAGUGAUUUAGUUUAGAGCAUAAUCACAAUGCAAAUACGAGCAAUAAUCCGGGGCAAAAAGAACAUUUAUCUAUUCUAAUUAUUUUGGUCAUUCCUUAUUUAUUACUUGAAGCUUCAUCGACGUCAUGUCUUUUUCCCCCUUAUCACCUUUUUCUUCAGUGUACUGUCAGUGAGUACAAUGUGAGCGAGUAAAGGCGUGGGUUAAAAGGUUAUAUCAAUUGCAGGGAGGAACGGUGUACAUUAUUAAUGCACGCAUCCACGACGUUUGAACCCCCCACGGAAAGGGUUGAGGUCAGAGCAUAAAGGCAGCUUCAGCUUUCCAACUUGUUCGAUUGUUCAGAGGAUUUUAUUUUCUUUACAAAAGUAUUCUCACACUGCAGGCUACGCAGAGGGUUGACAUGGAGAAAAGCAGAGAGAGAGAGAAAUACAGAGAAAAGUGCAUGACGACAAAGAGUGGAGGGACGAGGGGAGGAGGAUGAAAACAGCCCGAGUCAGAUGAGGUGAUGCGCUUUGUUUUCUGAAGAACUGCUGCACCUACAUGCUCCCUCAGUCCUGAUUACUGAGUUUAUUCUACUGACUCAUCUCACAAAAAGAAAAUGUUUCUUUGGAAUGCGCAUAAAAAAAAUGAAAAACGACUGAGGCUUUGAGUCAGCAUAGGAGGUGUUGAAUUGUAACCUGCUUGGGAUCUGAUUUAACAUUCAUUGUAGCCGGUUUGGGUUUGUAACUAGACUGGGGUCUAACAAUUUACAUACAACUCGGAUAUGAUCCAACAGCUAUAUUUUUAGAUAACCUAACAACAUCCAGGCAUAAAUUGGUUGGGAUCUGAUCUAACAGUCUCAUAUAACCAGGUUGGAAUCUGAUCUAACAUUCACAUAUAACCUGGUUGGGAUCUGAUCUAACAUCCUGGCAUAACCAGUUGGGAUCUGAUCUAACAGUCUCAUAUAACCAGGUUGGAAUCUGAUCCAACAUUCACA
Long non-coding RNA from Ictalurus punctatus (channel catfish), 1493 nucleotides. The record is from Ensembl. Lineage: Eukaryota; Metazoa; Chordata; Actinopteri; Siluriformes; Ictaluridae.